RNAcentral lists this ribosomal RNA (359 nucleotides) under Ehrlichia canis. Its description in RNAcentral is "bacterial SSU rRNA". It matches the Rfam family "Bacterial small subunit ribosomal RNA", at positions 93 to 486 of the family's 1533-position model. Lineage: Bacteria; Pseudomonadati; Pseudomonadota; Alphaproteobacteria; Rickettsiales; Anaplasmataceae. The record is from RNAcentral.
UAGUGGCAGACGGGUGAGUAAUGCGUAGGAAUCUACCUAGUAGUACGGAAUAGCCAUUAGAAAUGGUGGGUAAUACUGUAUAAUCCCCGAGGGGGAAAGAUUUAUCGCUAUUAGAUGAGCCUACGUUAGAUUAGCUAGUUGGUGAGGUAAUGGCUUACCAAGGCUAUGAUCUAUAGCUGGUCUGAGAGGACGAUCAGCCACACUGGAACUGAGAUACGGUCCAGACUCCUACGGGAGGCAGCAGUGGGGAAUAUUGGACAAUGGGCGAAAGCCUGAUCCAGCUAUGCCGCGUGAGUGAAGAAGGCCUUCGGGUUGUAAAACUCUUUCAAUAGGGAAGAUAAUGCCGGGUACCUAUAAAA